Molecule: non-coding RNA, 77 nt
Organism: Ktedonobacter sp. 13_2_20CM_2_56_8
Lineage: Bacteria; Bacillati; Chloroflexota; Ktedonobacteria; Ktedonobacterales; Ktedonobacteraceae
Source: Rfam
AGGAGCCGUGUGAGGGGAAAUGCUCAUGCACGGUUCUGGAUUGGCAGUGGAGGGAGCAAUCCCUUCGCCGACCAUAC